GACGAACGCUGGCGGCGUGCUUAACACAUGCAAGUCGAACGGAAAGGCCCUGCUUUUGUGGGGUGCUCGAGUGGCGAACGGGUGAGUAACACGUGUGUAUCCUGCCCUUGACUUUGGGAUAACUUCAGGAAACUGGGGCUCAUACCGGAUAUGAGCUCCUGCUGCAUGUUGUUCGUUGGAAAGUUUCGGCGGUUGUGGAUGGACUCGCUGCUUAUCAGCUUGUUUGUGUGGUAGUGGCUUACCAAGGCUGUGACGGCUAGGCGGCAUGGGAGCGUGAACGGGGACAAUGGGACUGAGAGACGGAGCAGAAUCGUACGGGAGGCAGUAGGGGAGAGUAUUGCGCAGUGGGGGGAAGCGAGAGACAGCAACGCCGCGAGCGGGAUGACGGCUUUCGAGGGGUAAACAGAUGUGGAAGGAGACGAAGAGGGAGUGACGGUAAUGGAUAAAGAAGCACCGGCUAACUACGUG
Molecule: ribosomal RNA, 468 nt
Filed under: uncultured bacterium
Lineage: Bacteria
Description: partial 16S ribosomal RNA
Rfam family: Bacterial small subunit ribosomal RNA
Source: RNAcentral